UAUAUAUAUAAUUAGGCUGGAAUACUAUCAAUAGCACCAAGCUAUUGGUGCUAUUAGGUUUCAGCCCUUGGAUGAAAAAAUAUACGAUUAGGAUGAUAUUGGCCCUCUAGGGUACGUUGAUUGAGUUAUUGAUUUAAUAGUAUAAUCUAAUGGAUAAAGAUAGUCAAAGGAUUAAAUCUAACGGCGGAAAACUUGAUAGCACCAAACGCUUGGUGCUAUCGAUAGUCACUACAACAGAAUUAGGUUAUAGGGACACAUGUUUGGGACACUUUUGAGUAAGUGUCUCAUUUAUGCUAAAACAUAAAAAAACAUCUACUUAUGCCUAAAUAUAAAGCCCAAUCCAACCAAAAAUAAAAGAUUACUCUACUCAACCAACCACACCCAAUCCAUUUGACCCGAUUACAAACAGAAAAGAAAAAAAAAAGAAAAAUCAAUUACCAUCUUUUUUUCUCUAUUCACUCAAUCCACUGAAAUUCUAGACGAAGAACCUUUCCUGUCGUCCUCCUCCGCCACCGCAGCCAACGAGAUAGAGUUUCGGCGGUUGCUAAAUGCUUAAAUAAGUGUUGAUAAAUUAGCAGCACUCUUUUAGGUUAUAGCGACACUCUUUAACUGUCACUAUAUACCUAGCGACCCCACAUAUAGCAACACUUUUUAAAAGUGUCGGUAAUUUUAGCUAGCAGCACUUUUUUG
Molecule: long non-coding RNA, 690 nt
Filed under: Ananas comosus (pineapple)
Lineage: Eukaryota; Viridiplantae; Streptophyta; Magnoliopsida; Poales; Bromeliaceae
Description: long non-coding RNA (ACOM_LNC041409)
Source: RNAcentral